RNAcentral lists this non-coding RNA (45 nucleotides) under Trichobilharzia regenti. Lineage: Eukaryota; Metazoa; Platyhelminthes; Trematoda; Strigeidida; Schistosomatidae. The record is from RNAcentral.
AUCCAGAUGACGAGUCCCAAACAGGAUGAAAUGCACAUCCUGGAU